RNAcentral lists this ribosomal RNA (463 nucleotides) under Achromobacter sp. RNAcentral's name for it is "bacterial SSU rRNA". It matches the Rfam family "Bacterial small subunit ribosomal RNA", at positions 57 to 516 of the family's 1533-position model. The record is from RNAcentral. Lineage: Bacteria; Pseudomonadati; Pseudomonadota; Betaproteobacteria; Burkholderiales; Alcaligenaceae.
GCAGUCGAACGGCAGCACGGACUUCGGUCUGGUGGCGAGUGGCGAACGGGUGAGUAAUGUAUCGGAACGUGCCUAGUAGCGGGGGAUAACUACGCGAAAGCGUAGCUAAUACCGCAUACGCCCUACGGGGGAAAGCAGGGGAUCGCAAGACCUUGCACUAUUAGAGCGGCCGAUAUCGGAUUAGCUAGUUGGUGGGGUAACGGCUCACCAAGGCGACGAUCCGUAGCUGGUUUGAGAGGACGACCAGCCACACUGGGACUGAGACACGGCCCAGACUCCUACGGGAGGCAGCAGUGGGGAAUUUUGGACAAUGGGGGAAACCCUGAUCCAGCCAUCCCGCGUGUGCGAUGAAGGCCUUCGGGUUGUAAAGCACUUUUGGCAGGAAAGAAACGUCAUGGGCUAAUACCCCGUGAAACUGACGGUACCUGCAGAAUAAGCACCGGCUAACUACGUGCCAGCAGCC